This 119-nucleotide ribosomal RNA is filed under the name Pteropus alecto (black flying fox). RNAcentral also lists the same sequence under 1 other name. The record is from RNAcentral. Lineage: Eukaryota; Metazoa; Chordata; Mammalia; Chiroptera; Pteropodidae.
GUCUACAGCCAUGCCACCCUGAACAAGCCUGAUCCCAUCUGAUCUCAGAAGCUAAGCAGGGUCGGGCCUGGUUAGUACUUGGAAGGGAGACCACCUAGGAAGACCAGGUGCUGUAGGCA